UACGUAGGGUGCAAGCGUUGUCCGGAAUUAUUGGGCGUAAAGAGCUCGUAGGCGGUUUGUUGCGUCGGCUGUGAAAUCCCGAGGCUCAACCUCGGGUCUGCAGUCGAUACGAGCAAACUAGAGUGUUGCAGGGGAGACUGGAAUUCCUGGUGUAGCGGUGAAAUGCGCAGAUAUCAGGAGGAACACCGGUGGCGAAGGCGGGUCACUGGACCGGUACUGACGCUGAUGCGCGAAAGCGUGGGGAGCAAACGGG
RNAcentral lists this ribosomal RNA (253 nucleotides) under uncultured bacterium. Its description in RNAcentral is "partial 16S ribosomal RNA". It matches the Rfam family "Bacterial small subunit ribosomal RNA", at positions 524 to 776 of the family's 1533-position model. The record is from RNAcentral.